Long non-coding RNA from Xiphias gladius (swordfish), 323 nucleotides. RefSeq lists it as uncharacterized. The record is from RefSeq and is a predicted model, not a curated record. The transcript has 3 exons. Lineage: Eukaryota; Metazoa; Chordata; Actinopteri; Istiophoriformes; Xiphiidae.
UUUUUUAGUUUUUCAGGUCACUGUGUAACGGAUACGUUUCAAACUCUGAAUUCUGACAUUCACGUGAAAAUGCAGUAGCUCAUCAGGUUCUACCCCCCCCCGUGGAUUUGGAUUUAGGAGUGGCAUCGCUGGCCGAAUAGAGGCAGUUGGAGAGUGGAUGGAGGUGGUGGGGAAGAAGGAGGUACUGAACCUUUUCUCGUGAGUCUCUGGUGUCAUGAGCUGCCGAAGGUCAUAGCUCAGGCGUAAUGAAGGACCGUUUGUCCUAUCACAGGUUGUUAGGAGUGAUGUACAGUACAUGUCAUCAUAAAAUGUUUACAUUUUCA